UAAUACGGAGGGUGCAAGCGUUAUCCGGAUUUAUUAGGUUUAAAGGGUUCGCAGGCGGAAUAUUAAGUCAGUGGUGAAAGCCUAUAGCUCAACUAUAGAACUGCCAUUGAUACUGAUAUUCUUGAGUAUAGAUGAAGUGGGCGGAAUAUGUCAUGUAGCGGUGAAAUGCAUAGAUAUGACAUGGAACACCAAUUGCGAAGGCAGCUCACUAAACUAUUACUGACGCUCAGGAACGAAAGCAUGGGGAGCGAACAGGAUUAGAUACCCUGGUAGUCCAUGCCGUAAACUAUGAUCACUGGGUGUUGGCGAUAUAAUGUCAGUGUUUUAGAGAAAUCGAUAAGUGAUCCACCUGGGGAGUACGUUCGCAAGAAUG
RNAcentral lists this ribosomal RNA (373 nucleotides) under uncultured Bacteroidota bacterium. RNAcentral's name for it is "bacterial SSU rRNA". It matches the Rfam family "Bacterial small subunit ribosomal RNA", at positions 521 to 896 of the family's 1533-position model. Lineage: Bacteria; Pseudomonadati; Bacteroidota. The record is from RNAcentral.